CCAAUAGCGUAUAUUAAAGUUGUUGCAGUUAAAAAGCUCGUAGUUGAACUUCGGGAUCAAUGGAUUGGUCAUGCCGAUGGUGUGUACUGGUCAUAUUGGUUCUCACCUUCUAAGGAACCAUAAUGUCAUUUAUUUGAUGUUGUGGGGAAUUAGGACUGUUACCUUGAAAAAAUUAGAGUGUUUAAAGCAGGCUAACGCUUGAAUACAUUAGCAUGGAAUAAUGAAAUAGGACAUCGCAUUCUAUUUUGUUGGUUUCUAGGAUCGAUGUAAUGAUUAAUAGGGAUAGUUGGGGGCAUUAGUAUUCAAUUGUCAGAGGUGAAAUUCUUGGAUUUAUUGAAGACUAACUACUGCGAAAGCAUUUGCCAAGGAUGUUUUCAUUAAUCAAGAACGAAAGUUAGGGGAUCGAAGACGAUCAGAUACCGUCGUAGUCUUAACCAUAAACUAUGCCGACUAGGGAUCGGAUGAUGUUGAUUUUUUAAUGACUCAUUCGGCACCUUACA
Molecule: ribosomal RNA, 500 nt
Filed under: uncultured Glomeromycotina
Lineage: Eukaryota; Fungi; Glomeromycota
Description: partial small subunit ribosomal RNA
Rfam family: Eukaryotic small subunit ribosomal RNA
Source: RNAcentral